UCCUCCGUGAUGUAAUGGCAGCAAUCACUGACUGUUAAUCAGUGUGUCUAGGUUCGAAUCCUGGCGGGGGAGCCA
Molecule: transfer RNA, 75 nt
Filed under: Capsulimonas corticalis
Lineage: Bacteria; Bacillati; Armatimonadota; Armatimonadia; Capsulimonadales; Capsulimonadaceae
Description: tRNA-Asn
Rfam family: tRNA
About the family: Transfer RNA (tRNA) molecules are approximately 80 nucleotides in length. Their secondary structure includes four short double-helical elements and three loops (D, anti-codon, and T loops).
Source: RNAcentral